RNAcentral lists this RNase P RNA (392 nucleotides) under Actinomycetota bacterium. RNAcentral's name for it is "RNase P RNA component class A". It matches the Rfam family "Bacterial RNase P class A". From Rfam's summary of the family: Ribonuclease P (RNase P) is a ubiquitous endoribonuclease, found in archaea, bacteria and eukarya as well as chloroplasts and mitochondria. Its best characterised activity is the generation of mature 5'-ends of tRNAs by cleaving the 5'-leader elements of precursor-tRNAs. The record is from RNAcentral. Lineage: Bacteria; Bacillati; Actinomycetota.
CGAGUCGGCCGGGCGGCCGCGUCGGGUCUUCGGGCCCGCCGAGGAAAGUCCGGGCUCCACAGGGCGAGGUGGUGGGUAACACCCACCCGGGGCGACCCGCGGGAAAGUGCCACAGAGAACAGACAGCCCGGCCCUCGGGCCAGGUGAUGGUGAAACGGUGGUGUAAGAGACCACCAGCACCCCAGGUGACUGGGGUGGCUCGGCAAACCCCACCCGGAGCAAGGCCAAGAGGGGCGAGCACUUCGGUGCUCGCCCUGCGCAGGCGCUCGAGGACUGCCCGUCCGAGCCUGCGGGUAGGCCGCACGAGACCGCCGGUGACGGUGGUCCUAGAUGGAUGGCCGCCGGCCUGCGUGAGCAGGUCACAGAACCCGGCUUACAGGCCGGCUCGUCCA